CGCACCGCCCCUCUCCCCCGGGGCCUCCGGCCGGCGGCUUCUGGAAAACAGCGCCUUGCUCUGCUAGGGCAGGAAGAAGGGCCAAAGGGGAGGGCGGGGGAGGGGGUUAGCGUUUCCUGAGCACCGGCCCCUAGGGGCCUGGAGGGGGGUUCACUUCUGAGUUGGAAGGAAGCCCCCUGGGUUCCCCAGCCCUUAGCCGCGCUCCGCGGGAGGAGGGACCUGCUUGUCCCUGAAGAGCGUUGGGACCGUGCCCGCGCUCUGGCACUGGCGAUCUCUUAGGCAGGACCCCGGGAGCCGGGCUGGCGGCAAAAACAUGCGGAGUGGCUGCCCCUACCCCAUUCCCCACCCAUCCCCCCGCAUCGUAUUUAUUCACACGUCUGUUUUUGUUGAGGGCCCACCGUGUUCAAACGCUGGUGCCAGGGGCCCGAGAUGCAGAGACCUGGGCUGUGAUCCUUCAGAAGCCUUGUGAGGGUCACGCCCAGGAAGAGAGCCAGACUUCUCUGGACUACGGACUACAGGAAAUACUGAUUAUGAAACACACUGAGAAAGAGAAAUAGAAGCAAAAGCAGAGGAAGUAAAGGGAGAGGGUGACAGUUCGUACUCCAGCAGCUCACUUCACAAACCCAGAAUUAAGACCACUCUUGGGCAAAAUCAUAAAGUAGAGGAGGGAAAGAAGAGAGGAAAGAAGAAAAGAAUGUGGGAGGUAGGAGGAUGUUUCCUAUUUCAUGAAGGAGCAGCCUAGGAGCCUUAGACUCAGGCGCAGUUCAUGAUGGGCAGUUCAGGUUGCAUGGUAAUUUGGUGGCCAUGGUCAAGUAUUUGUCUCCAUGAAGGCUCUGAGGUAAGCCAACAGUUUCUUUCCAAGAGAAUAGUUACAUACAGAAAAGGAUAGUUGUUUUUCUCUGAAAUCUUAAAAUGUUUGUUCUAUGAUUCUCCUUGAGGGAACUUCCAAUGACUCCAUACAGUACCUGUAUCUUCCAUAGAUGCUUCAGUCACCAUAAUAUCUGUUGAGUCAGAUAAAUAAGGUGGCAAGACAGCUUUUGUCACAGCCUGAACUUGUUCGGAGCCUGGCCUUACUCUGGACCCUACUCAGAACUGUAAGCCUUCUGGGUUACUCAGUAAAUGGAUUGGAUUAUCAAACACAAAUGAGGUAUACAUUGUACCCCAAAUCUAAAGAGACCCACUAGCUGUUGUGCCUCUUUGCUGAGGUAAGAGGAAUCAGAUGCAACAACUUGUUUUUCUUGAGGUCUGGCCACUGGACCCCUAAAAAUUUCAUCAAGAUGGCAUAUGUGUUCCUAACAGGAUGUCUGAAGAAGAAGUGUUAUUUUCUCUUCACAAGGUCUAAUCAGCAUGAUAACAUUAACUUAGUGGACCAGUGUGUUAUCUUGUGGAAUGAAGAAAUGAUAAAGAGCCCUUUUGAAUGGAUUAUGGUCAUGACAGUGAAGAUCUGAUAUACGUAGGGCAGUGAAUGUGUAUUCCUGGCCCCAUCAAGUAGAAGCAAACUGCACUUGCCAGAGUGAUAGCGGCAGUGUGCCAGGGGGUGUGUUGAUGUGCUGCAGUAAAUAAACCAUGUCUGGAAUGGCAGCUGCAAUUUGAAUCAUCACCUUAUUAAUCUUACAAUAUUCUACUGUCAUUCUUUAGGAUCCAUCUGUGUUCUGCAUAGGCCACAUAGGCCAAUUAAAUGGAGAUAUGAUUGGAAUUACCUGAAUUUUUUAUGUCCUUGAUGAAGCACUCAUAUCUGCAUUCUGUCUAUAAGUUUUAUACUGCUCUUGGUUUUACCUGUGUUUUUUUAAGAAGAGGCAGUUCUGGAGGUUUCUACUUAAUCUUUCCUGCCAUAACAGCCCUCACAUCUCAGGUCAAGGAACCAGUGUGGUAAUUCUGCAAAUUGCUAAGUAUGUGUAUUCUAACUAUGCAUUCUGGAACUAUGGAAACAACCAAACACUGCAUUCAGGGACUCACUGAUUCUACUGUGAAAUGGAUCUAAACCAAAGCUAUAUUAAUCUCCUAAUUUCUAUAAUUGUCCAGUUAAUUGGUGAUACAAGAUAAACUUUUUUGCCCAGACUUAGAACUUUUCUGCUUAUACAAAUCAAAUAAGGGUUUAGUAAAUUGUCCAUCUCUUUUAGUUCUAGGGACACCAUGAUCACUUA
This is a long non-coding RNA of Lemur catta (Ring-tailed lemur), 2144 nucleotides long. RefSeq lists it as uncharacterized. The record is from RefSeq and is a predicted model, not a curated record. Lineage: Eukaryota; Metazoa; Chordata; Mammalia; Primates; Lemuridae. The transcript has 5 exons.